RNAcentral lists this ribosomal RNA (253 nucleotides) under uncultured bacterium. RNAcentral's name for it is "partial 16S ribosomal RNA". It matches the Rfam family "Bacterial small subunit ribosomal RNA", at positions 524 to 776 of the family's 1533-position model. The record is from RNAcentral.
UACAGAGGUCUCAAGCGUUGUUCGGAUUCAUUGGGCGUAAAGGGUGCGUAGGCGGCGCGGUAAGUCCGCUCUGAAAGCCCGGGGCUCAACCCCGGGAGGCGGGUGGAUACUGCUCAGCUCGAGUCCGGAAGAGGAGGGUGGAAUUCCUGGUGUAGCGGUGAAAUGCGCAGAUAUCAGGAGGAACACCAAUGGCGAAGGCAGCACUCUGGGACGGUACUCACGCUGAGACGCGAAAGAGUGGGGAGCAAACGGG